Molecule: ribosomal RNA, 455 nt
Filed under: Streptococcus sp. oral taxon 071
Lineage: Bacteria; Bacillati; Bacillota; Bacilli; Lactobacillales; Streptococcaceae
Description: bacterial SSU rRNA
Rfam family: Bacterial small subunit ribosomal RNA
Source: RNAcentral
GACGAACGCUGGCGGCGUGCCUAAUACAUGCAAGUAGAACGCUGAAGAGAGGAGCUUGCUCUUCUUGGAUGAGUUGCGAACGGGUGAGUAACGCGUAGGUAACCUGCCUGGUAGCGGGGGAUAACUAUUGGAAACGAUAGCUAAUACCGCAUAAAAUGGAUUAUCGCAUGAUAAUCGAUUGAAAGGUGCAAAUGCAUCACUACCAGAUGGACCUGCGUUGUAUUAGCUAGUUGGUGGGGUAACGGCUCACCAAGGCGACGAUACAUAGCCGACCUGAGAGGGUGAUCGGCCACACUGGGACUGAGACACGGCCCAGACUCCUACGGGAGGCAGCAGUAGGGAAUCUUCGGCAAUGGACGGAAGUCUGACCGAGCAACGCCGCGUGAGUGAAGAAGGUUUUCGGAUCGUAAAGCUCUGUUGUAAAGAGAAAGAAACGAGUGUGAGAAGUGGAAAAG